GUACUGGCUGUGAUGUUCAAAAUCUACCUAUUUUAUGAGAGAAUUUACUUCUCUUGUGAUUAGAAAACCAAUGGAUCCUUCUGAGCCUACUC
Molecule: small nucleolar RNA, 92 nt
Filed under: Ipomoea nil (Japanese morning glory)
Lineage: Eukaryota; Viridiplantae; Streptophyta; Magnoliopsida; Solanales; Convolvulaceae
Source: RNAcentral